GAAAAUCACUUCUGCUUUAGGCUUUUCUGGAGAGAGAGAGAGAGAGAGAGAUGGAGUCGGAGAAAGUGGAAAAAGUGGUACCGGAGGUGGAGGAGCUGCCUAAGGCUAUUGUGCGUAGGGUGGUCAAGGAUAAGCUCUCCCAUUGCUCCACGGACGGCGACCUUAACGUCCACAAAGAUGCUCUCCUUGCUUUCUCCGAGAGCGCAAGAAUCUUCAUUCAUUAUCUUUCGGCUACGGCUAAUGAUAUAUGUAAGGAAUCAAAGAGGCAAACUAUCAAUGCAAAUGAUGUGUUAAAGGCGCUUGAAGAAAUUGAAUUUCCUGAGUUUGUUGGCCCUCUCAAAGCCUCCCUUGAUGAGUUUAAGCAGAAAAAUGUUGGAAAAAAGGCAGGAGCAUCAGAGACAGGAAAGAAGGCGGCAGCAUCAGACAUGGGAAAGAAGGCAGGAGCAUCAGAGACGGGAAAAAAUACAGGAGAAUCGGAGACCAAAGAAGUAAAAAAGAAGAGGAAAGUAGAAGAGCCUUCAAAGAAAAUUGGAGGUAAGAGCAAACAGAAAAAAGAGGACUGAUAUAGAGAAGAACGAUGGCUGCAAUAAUCUGUGAGGAACAAUACUGUUGUUUACGAGGCUAGGGGGACAAAAAUGGAGCAGCAC
Molecule: unclassified non-coding RNA, 647 nt
Filed under: Hevea brasiliensis (rubber tree)
Lineage: Eukaryota; Viridiplantae; Streptophyta; Magnoliopsida; Malpighiales; Euphorbiaceae
Source: RNAcentral